UAAACCGCUAAAAAUUGGGGUACAAGCUCACUAUCGGAAAUUACAAGGAGACGGAAUCUUCACCUCCAGAAAUCAGCAAAAACUACCCCAAAUGACCUUGAAAUUAGUCAAAAACCAGCCCCAAAUUCCCCAGGGGAAAUCAGUUUAAAAGACCUCAAAGCAGUCACCUCUGAAAAUCGGUCCAAAUCUUAGUCAAAAGGCGGUCAAAAAGCUGCAGAAGAUAGCCAUUAGAGCAAGCUCCAAAUUACUGUCUCCUCCAAUACGAUCUCCUCCAGUCAACAGCUCUUCUCGAUUGUCAGCGCCAUUACCGGCUCGCUCGCUCUCCGUAAGUUUUCUGGAGUAUUAUUUUACUUAUCAUUUUCAGUUCCUCUCUGUUUGCUCAAUUACUCAAAAUUCAUUUUCCUUUCAAAAACCCUAACAUCGAGUUUCUACUUAUUUACUAGUUCGCAUCGAGUUUCUACUUUGUACGUGUAAUUAGGGUAAUCUGCAGCUCUUCUUGAGUAUUAUUUUGUCAAACUCUUAACAUUUUUUGGUUUGGUAACUGUUGUUUUUAUAUUUUAUUUCUUACAGUAAUUAAAAUUUUUAACUCGUACUAUUUUUUUUCAGCUGCAUACAAUGUGGUUUCCCCUUUUAUAUGGUUUUUCAUAUCUAUCGUAUUCCUAUCGAUUACGAAAUUCAUGUUUAUUUUGUUUAUUAACUCGAUUAAUUGACUGUCCUUGGAAAAAAAUUGGGAACUAUUUUGAACAAUGGUCGUCAGCAUCUAGCUAGAAAGAGCAGACAUGUUUCAAUACUUGGGAAACUUAUUGGCGCGGAAAAGAAUGGGAGCUAAAGAUCUACUUUGCAGAAUCUGUUGAUUUCUGCUAUUUCAAGUGCAUUUUUCUGCUAUUGUAAUUAUUUUUGUUCGGGUCUGAAAAUAAUUUCCAGUACAAAAUUAUUGGUUGUGGAACUGUUGUUAUUUGAGUUGUUAUGUCCUUUUGGCUGCUGGAAAUGGUCGUAGCAUUAAUAGAUAAUUUGUGGUUUAGAUUUUAAUUAGAUAAAGGUGCAGGAUAAAAGUUUAAGCUUGGAACACUUUUAACUGCUACAUUUGCAACUUAAAGGGAAUUAAAAUUCCUUACUUGUAAUGAUAGCGACUUUCAAUUAUACUUUUACCAAUUAGAAUGAGAUUUAUGUUCUUAUAAUUAUGCCUAUUUUCAAUAUAUUUAUGCUGCUUGAUCAAAACGCAGAAUUCACUAGACCCCGCCUUGUAAGAAUUCAUUAGGUAUGUUGUUGUUGUUGAAAGAAGUAUUAUGAUUGUAGAUUGAGGCAAAAAUUGAAAUAUGAAUCUAAAAUCUAAAUGCUACUUGCUCCUUCCUUUGCUAUGCCACCUUGUCGUGUUAACGAAGCAGAUCCUUGAGUGUUUAGCUCGUUUAAAUUCUGGACAGGUUCAUCACUUAACUCGUCUUCCCUCAUCGUGUCUUCAUGUUGUUCUCUUGUGUGGUCAGACCCUCCUUUUGGUUGUUUUGUUGCCGACGACAUCAUGGAUAAAGUUUGUUUACCAGCUGUAGUUUUAGAAUCAGCAGUUUAAGCAGCUGGUUGAUGUCUCAACAUAGCCUGUAGCUUCUGACAUCUGCUUCUAAAAGGUAGUACUAGCAUCAGUACUUAUUUUAGUUGCGCUUUCUAAGGGAAAAUUUCCAUAGUACUUUGAUUAUCUUCAUCUGCGGAGUAGCCCUUUCAGCUUGUGUAACCAAAAUAUUCUAGGGAGUAGUGACCUCAAUCUGGCUGAACUGUUUAUGGAGGAUGAUGGUUGCAUCACAACAAAUUUGUUGGAUAGCUCUUGUUACACAUAAAUUCUUUCACAUUCAUAUUUUCUUUUUGCAUCUUGCUUUCCGUAUAUGCCAAUGAAUAAGAAGGGGGAUAUCCCAUCUUCUGGAUAUUAUCAUCAGUGGGUGAUAUCAUCAGUGCUAUUAUCAGUUGCAACCUCCAGCACUUAGUACCAUAUGUUCUUGCAAUUCAUGAUUCACAACUUUAGCAUUAAGAUCAGCUGGUUUUAUUAGUAGAAUCACCAACUGUAGCAGUAGGAUGAUCCAGCUUAUUAUAAGCUUGCACGACUGGCUUCUCAGCUGGGUUUUGCCGUAUUUUUGGGUUGGUUUCGGAAGGAGAAUUGUUGAAUUUUGCAGAAGCUUUGGGAAGGUGAUUUCUUUAGAUGUUUUGCUGCAUUUUUGGGCGAUAUUUGCAUCUGUUUUGCUGUGUUUUUUGGGCGAUAUUUGCAGCUGUUUUAGAUCUAGUUGUCCUGCCUUAGAAUGUAAUAUCUGUGUCAUUUUGUCCUUUGAAUAUUCUAACUGUUUCUGCUUUGCAUACUUCUUGGGUGAUUUAACUGUUUCUGCUUUGCACACUUCUUGUCCUCUGAAGUACUUUUUAAUGGCAUUUGAGAUGGGUACACUAUAAAGUUUAUGCCAUGAUUUUGGGUUCAAAUAUCAAACAUAAUUAGUUAUUUAAGCAGAACUUCCAUGGAAAAUCGAGUUAUAUGCCUUGGCAAUACUCUACUGGAUACUCUAAAGUCCCCCAUUCUUAACAAUUGUUUUGUCAUUGUUUAUAUGCCUUGGCAAUACUCUACUGGACACUCUAAAGUCCCCCAUUCUUAACAAUUGUUUUGUCAUUGUUCCCUCUUCUCCCGCAUCUCUUCAACAGUACUCGCUGCAAUCUCAAUUAUCAAUUUGAUUUAAUGAUUUCUGUUUAGGUGCAUAUUAUGUGUUUGUGAAAAUUCGUUUAUUUACUGAUUACAAAUGAUGUCUAUUUUAAAAUGGCCAUUGCAUGUGAGCCGAUGCUAUAUGUAUAUUUCCGUUUCUGCCUCCGAAAAUUUUCCAUUGGCUCUUUAAAAAGCUGCUUGAAUCAGAUAUGGAGAUGAUACAUUGCCUGUAGGAAUAACGUAGCUGCGGCAUCCAGUACAGGGCUGCUCGGUUAUCAAUCUUGCCAUCCUCUGGAGUUGAUACAUUGCCUGUAGGAAUUUACGUAGCUGCUAGAUAGAUCUAAAGGUGACUUCCCAGCUAAUAAGUCAAGUACAAGAGUAUUAAACCUCCAUUAAUGAGAGUAAUAGCGUACGUUUGAUACCUUAGUUUUAUUAAUACAUACAUGAAGCACAAUUUACUUUUGAAAAAUAAUGUCAGAAGUCUUAUUCCAUUAUUGUCAAAUAGAAAUGUGUACUGCAUUCCAUUAUCGUCUGAGAUGGGUUGUCUUAUUCCAUUAUUGUCAAAUAGAAUUGGUACUGCAUUCCAUUAUCGUCUGAGAUGGGUUCUUAAUAUGUCUCUAGGAGGUUCUUGGUUGUUUCCUAAUGAAACAUGUAAUCUUUACUAUCUUUCCUCUUCACUGAUCUGUUAAGUUGAGUUCUAAAUUACUUGUUAAGUUGAUUUAGUUAUUUGCCUCAUUUAUUUGGCGUGUGGUAGACGUGUCUUUUUGUACUUCUUGUGAAAUGUUUUUUGGAAUUUUGCAUUCUUGGGAGUCUUUUUAUGUGUUGAUGAUGCCUUAUCUCCGGAAUAUCUUUGUCCGUAUAUUAUGGGAAAACCAACAUUUUGCCAUCCAAUUUUGGGGUUUAAUGCAGAAUUUUAUACUUUCUUUUUACUCUUGAUUUUGUGGACCAAGUGAAUUUUAUAUAGGAUUCUCUUGAAGGGAUAAUGACUUUCUUUAUACUCUUUUAUAGGUGGAGUAGAAAUGGAAGACGGAGGCGGUGAUGAAGAUCUAGAUCUUACUUAAUAGAAUUUUGAAUUAUUGAUUGUUGUAGAUGCAUGUGGUAAUUUCUAGGAAUGUUUGUUAUCAAGACAUUUUAAAACUUUAACUCUUGAAAUAUCAAUUGUAUGUACUUGGUAACAUUUCAUCACUAUCUAUGGAUUUAUUAUCUUGUUGGACAAUUUGUAUUAUAAAUAGUUUCAUUUUGUUAUUUAUAUAAAUUUUAGUAUUUUAUAGUUUUAUAUAUAUAUAUAUAUAUAUAUAUAUAGAAACUAAAAAAUGGGGUCUUUAAAAGAUCCAAAGUUUCAACCAGAUAAAGAUUAGCUAUUGUAACAGUUAAAUUGAAUUGAGAAUAUUCCCC
RNAcentral lists this long non-coding RNA (4060 nucleotides) under Nicotiana benthamiana. RNAcentral describes it as "long non-coding RNA (NBEN_LNC010333)". The record is from RNAcentral. Lineage: Eukaryota; Viridiplantae; Streptophyta; Magnoliopsida; Solanales; Solanaceae.